GUUUGAUUCUGGCUCAGAUUGAACGCUGGCGGGAUGCUUUACACAUGCAAAGUCGAACGGCAGCACGGACUUCGGUCUGGUGGCGAGUGGCGAACAGGUGAGUAAUGUAUCGGAACGUGCCUAGUAGUGAGGAUAACUACGCGAAGGCGUAGCUAAUACCGCAUACGCCCUUCGGGGAAAGCGAGGGGACCUUCGGGCCUCGCACUAUUGGAAGCGGCCGAUAUCGGAUUAGCUAGUUGGUGGGGUAACGGCUCACCAAGGCGACGAUCCGUAGCUGGUUUGUAGUCGAUAAUUUGUAACGCGGUGAAGGUGGCUGGUCUGCGGAAGCGAAAAUGCGGAAUUUUUACGGGCAAUGGAAACCUGGUCCCAGCCAUCCCGCGUGUGCGAUGAAGGCCUUCGGGUUGUAAGCGCUUUUGGCAGGAAAGAAACGGCGCAGGAUAAUACCCCGUGCAACUGACGGUACCUGCAGAAUAAGCACCGGCUAACUACGUGCCAGCAGCCGCGGUAAUACGUAGGGUGCAAGCGUUAAUCGGAAUUACUGGGCGUAAAGCGUGCUGGGCGGUUCCGGAAAGAAAGAUGUGAAAUCCCAGAGCUUAACUUUGGAACUGCAUUUUUAACUACCGAGCUAGAGUGUGUCAGAGGGAGUGGAAUUCCGCGUGUAGCAGUGAAAUGCGUAGAUAUGCGGAGGAACACCGAUGGCGAAGGCAGCCUCCGAGGGAUAACACUGACGCUCAUGCACGAAAGCGUGGGAGCAAACAGGAUUAGAUACCCUGGUAGUCCACGCCCUAAACGAUGUCAACUAGCUGUUGGGGCCUUCGGGCCUUGGUAGCGCAGCUAACGCGUGAAGUUGACCGCCUGGAAGUACAGUGCAAGAUUAAAACUCAAGGAAUUGACAGGACCCGCACAAGCGGUGGAUGAUGUGGAUUAAUUCGAUGCAACGCGAAAAACCUUACCUACCCUUGACAUGUCUGGAAUCCCGAAGAGAUUUGGGAGUGCUCGCAAGAAGAGCCGGAACACAGGUGCUGCAUGGCUGUCGUCAGCUCGUGUCGUGAGAUGUUGGAAUUUAAGUCCCGCAACAGGCGCAACCCUUGUCGUGGAUUGCUACGAAAGGGCACUCUAAUGAGACUGCCGGUGACAAACCGGAGGAAGGUGGGGAUGACGUCAAGUCCUCAUGGCCCUUAUGGGUAGG
This 1189-nucleotide unclassified non-coding RNA is filed under the name uncultured Bordetella sp. RNAcentral describes it as "partial 16S-23S ribosomal RNA intergenic spacer". It matches the Rfam family "Bacterial small subunit ribosomal RNA", at positions 11 to 1212 of the family's 1533-position model. Lineage: Bacteria; Pseudomonadati; Pseudomonadota; Betaproteobacteria; Burkholderiales; Alcaligenaceae. The record is from RNAcentral.